Molecule: ribosomal RNA, 500 nt
Filed under: uncultured bacterium
Lineage: Bacteria
Description: partial 16S ribosomal RNA
Rfam family: Bacterial small subunit ribosomal RNA
Source: RNAcentral
AUUGAACGCUGGCGGCAUGCCUUACACAUGCAAGUCGAACGGCAGCACGGGAGCAAUCCUGGUGGCGAGUGGCGAACGGGUGAGUAAAGUAUCGAAACGUGCCCAGUCGUGGGGGAUAACGUAGCGAAAGUUACGCUAAUACCGCAUACGAUCUAUGGAUGAAAGCGGGGGAUCGCAAGACCUCGCUCGAUUGGAGCGGCCGAUAUCAGAUUAGGUAGUUGGUGGGGUAAAGGCGCACCAAGCCGACGAUCUGUAGCUGGUCUUAGAGGACGACCAGCCACACUGGGCCUGGGACCAGGCCCAGACGCCUACGGGGGUCAGGAGUGGGGAAGUUUGGACAAUGGGAGAAAGCCUGAUCAAGCCAUGCCGCGUGCAGGAUGAAGGCCUUCGGGUUGUAAACUGCUUUUGUACGGAACGAAAAGGUUUGGCCUAAUAAGCUGAGCUCAUGACGGUACCGUAAGAAUAAGCACCGGCUAACUACGUGCCAGCAGCCGCCGUAA